CAAUAGCGUAUAUUAAAGUUGUUGCGGUAAAAAAGCUCGUAGUUGGAUUUCUGUUGAGAGCGACCGGUCCAUACCAUGUAUGCGUAUCUGGCUUGCUCUCGGCAUCCUCUCGAUAGACGUUGCUGCGCUUGAUUGCGUGGCGCGGAUCUCGGGACUUUUACUUUGAGGAAACUAGAGUGUUCACGGCAGGCUUUCGCCAGAAUACAUUAGCAUGGAAUAAUACUAUAGGAUCUUGGUUCUAUUUUGUUGGUUUCUAGAAUUGAGAUAAUGAUUAAUAGGGACAAUUGGGGGCAUUCGUAUCAACACGUCAGAGGUGGAAUUCUUGGAUUGUGUUGCGACGAACUACUGCGAAAGCAUUUGCCAAGGAUGUUUUCAUUGA
RNAcentral lists this ribosomal RNA (379 nucleotides) under uncultured eukaryote. Its description in RNAcentral is "partial 18S ribosomal RNA". It matches the Rfam family "Eukaryotic small subunit ribosomal RNA", at positions 592 to 976 of the family's 1831-position model. The record is from RNAcentral.